GAUGAACGCUGGCGGCGUGCCUAAUACAUGCAAGUCGAGCGAACAGACGAGGAGCUUGCUCCUUCGACGUUAGCGGCGGACGGGUGAGUAACACGUAGGUAACCUACCUAUAAGACUGGGAUAACUUCGGGAAACCGGAGCUAAUACCGGAUAAUAUUUCGAACCGCAUGGUUCGAUAGUGAAAGAUGGCUUUGCUAUCACUUAUAGAUGGACCUGCGCCGUAUUAGCUAGUUGGUAAGGUAACGGCUUACCAAGGCAACGAUACGUAGCCGACCUGAGAGGGUGAUCGGCCGCACUGGAACUGAGACACGGUCCAGACUCCUACGGGAGGCAGCAGUAGGGAAUCUGCCGCAAUGGGCGAAAGCCUGACGGAGCAACGCCGCGUGAGUGAUGAAGGUCUUCGGAUCGUAAAACUCUGUUAUUAGGGAAGAACAAACGUGUAAGUAACUGUGCACGUCUUGACGGUACCUAAUCAGAAAGCCACGGCUAACUACGUG
RNAcentral lists this ribosomal RNA (497 nucleotides) under uncultured bacterium. RNAcentral describes it as "partial 16S ribosomal RNA". It matches the Rfam family "Bacterial small subunit ribosomal RNA", at positions 28 to 507 of the family's 1533-position model. The record is from RNAcentral.